GAGCCUCUUGGCAGCUUGCUCCAUCGGUUUAGCGGCGGACGGGUGAGUAACACGUGGGCAACCUGCCCUGCAGAUCGGGAUAACUCCGGGAAACCGGUGCUAAUACCGAAUAGUUUGUUGCCCCUCCUGGGGCGGAACGGAAAGACGGUUUCGGCUGUCACUGCAGGAUGGGCCCGCGGCGCAUUAGCUAGUUGGUGGGGUAAUGGCCCACCAAGGCGACGAUGCGUAGCCGACCUGAGAGGGUGAUCGGCCACACUGGGACUGAGACACGGCCCAGACUCCUACGGGAGGCAGCAGUAGGGAAUCUUCCGCAAUGGACGAAAGUCUGACGGAGCAACGCCGCGUGAGUGACGAAGGUUUUCGGAUCGUAAAACUCUGUUGUGAGGGAAGAACAAGUACCAACUAACUACUGGUACCUUGACGGUACCUCACCAGAAAGCCACGGCUAACUACGUGCCAGCAGCCGCGGUAAUACGUAGGUGGCAAGCGUUGUCCGGAAUUAUUGGGCGUAAAGCGCGCGCAGGCGGUCCCUUAAGUCUGAUGUGAAAGCCCACGGCUCAACCGUGGAGGGUCAUUGGAAACUGGGGGACUUGAGUGCAGAAGAGGAAAGUGGAAUUCCAUGUGUAGCGGUGAAAUGCGCAGAUAUCAGGAGGGAACAC
RNAcentral lists this ribosomal RNA (659 nucleotides) under Planomicrobium sp. SCULCB HNA-2. Its description in RNAcentral is "bacterial SSU rRNA". It matches the Rfam family "Bacterial small subunit ribosomal RNA", at positions 64 to 709 of the family's 1533-position model. Lineage: Bacteria; Bacillati; Bacillota; Bacilli; Caryophanales; Caryophanaceae. The record is from RNAcentral.